Molecule: long non-coding RNA, 126 nt
Organism: Octopus sinensis (East Asian common octopus)
Lineage: Eukaryota; Metazoa; Mollusca; Cephalopoda; Octopoda; Octopodidae
Exons: 3
Source: RefSeq, a predicted model, not a curated record
AGAGAAAAUACGGAAAUUUUUUAUUUGUUUUUGUACAUACCUGUGGUGUGUCUCAGACUUACUUCAAAGGAAGAGGUAAAAAGGUUGAAGGGAGAGGUACAGAGAGAGAGAGAGAGGGAGAGGGAG